RNAcentral lists this ribosomal RNA (492 nucleotides) under uncultured bacterium. Its description in RNAcentral is "partial 16S ribosomal RNA". It matches the Rfam family "Bacterial small subunit ribosomal RNA", at positions 29 to 507 of the family's 1533-position model. The record is from RNAcentral.
AGUGAACGCUGGCGGUAGGCCUAACACAUGCAAGUCGAACGGCAGCACAGUAAGAGCUUGCUCUUACGGGUGGCGAGUGGCGGACGGGUGAGGAAUACAUCGGAAUCUACUUUUUCGUGGGGGAUAACGUAGGGAAACUUACGCUAAUGCCGCAUACGACCUACGGGUGAAAGCAGGGGAUCUUCGGACCUUGCGCGAUUGAUUGAGCCGAUGUCGGAUUAGCUAGUUGGCGUGGUAAAGGCCCACCAAGGCGACGAUCCGUAGCUGGUCUGAGAGGAUGAUCAGCCACACUGGAACUGAGACACGGUCCAGACUCCUACGGGAGGCAGCAGUGGGGAAUAUUGGACAAUGGGCGAAAGCCUGAUCCAGCCAUACCGCGUGGGUGAAGAAGGCCUUCGGGUUGUAAAGCCCUUUUGUUGGGAAAGAAAAGCAGCAGGUUAAUACCCCGCUGUUCUGACGGUACCCAAAGAAUAAGCACCGGCUAACUUCGUG